UGCCUUAUAGCUUAAUAGGAAAAGCAUCUGUUUUCGAAAUAGAGGAGUGAAGGUUCGAUUCCUUUUAAGGUAA
Molecule: transfer RNA, 73 nt
Filed under: Iotrochota birotulata (green finger sponge)
Lineage: Eukaryota; Metazoa; Porifera; Demospongiae; Poecilosclerida; Iotrochotidae
Description: tRNA-Arg
Rfam family: tRNA
About the family: Transfer RNA (tRNA) molecules are approximately 80 nucleotides in length.
Source: RNAcentral